Molecule: ribosomal RNA, 383 nt
Filed under: uncultured Pelotomaculum sp.
Lineage: Bacteria; Bacillati; Bacillota; Clostridia; Eubacteriales; Desulfotomaculaceae
Description: bacterial SSU rRNA
Rfam family: Bacterial small subunit ribosomal RNA
Source: RNAcentral
CGUAUGAAGUACGUUUCACCCUCGGGUGACAGGGAGACAGGUGGUGCAUGGUUGUCGUCAGCUCGUGUCGUGAGAUGUUGGGUUAAGUCCCGCAACGAGCGCAACCCCUACGUUUAGUUGCUAACAGGUGAAGCUGAGCACUCUAGACGAACUGCCGUUGACAAACGGAGGAAGGUGGGGAUGACGUCAAAUCAUCAUGCCCCUUAUGUUCUGGGCUACACACGUGCUACAAUGGCCGGUACAGACGGAGGCGAAGCCGCGAGGCGGAGCAAACCGAAAAAGCCGGUCUCAGUUCGGAUUGCAGGCUGCAAUUCGCCUGCAUGGAGUCGGAAUCGCUAGUAAUCGCAGGUCAGCAUACUGCGGUGAAUACGUUCCCGGGCCUU